RNAcentral lists this ribosomal RNA (463 nucleotides) under uncultured bacterium. RNAcentral's name for it is "partial 16S ribosomal RNA". It matches the Rfam family "Bacterial small subunit ribosomal RNA", at positions 339 to 795 of the family's 1533-position model. The record is from RNAcentral.
CUACGGGCGGCUGCAGUGGGGAAUAUUGGACAAUGGGGGAAACCCUGAUCCAGCAAUGCCGCGUGUGUGAAGAAGGCCUGCGGGUUGUAAAGCACUUUCGGUUGGGAGGACUGCUUCUAGCACUAAUAUUGUUGGAAGUUGACGUUACCUUCAGAAGAAGCACCGGCUAACUCCGUGCCAGCAGCCGCGGUAAUACGGAGGGUGCAUGCGUUAAUCGGAAUUACUGGGCGUAAAGCGCGCGUAGGCGGCUAGCUCAGUCGGGUGUGAAAGCCCCGGGCUUAACCUGGGAACUGCAUCCGAUACUGUCUAGCAUGAGUACAGGAGAGGAGAGUGGAAUUCCACAUGUAGCGGUGAAAUGCGUAGAUAUGUGGAGGAACACCAAUGGCGAAGGCAGCUCUCUGGCCUGAUACUGACGCUGAGGUGCGAAAGCGUGGGGAGCAAACAGGAUAGAUACCUGGUAGUC